CUUGCCCGUUCCCAUUCAAGGUCUGUGCUACUGAACAAUCCCCGUUUAUUGUCGACCCGGUUGACGUACCUCCUUUGUAAUUGAAGCAGUGAGGAGGAGCCCCUAUGGGGCCCAUCCCGGGUGGUAUUUGAUGUAUGAUGUUCCUGGAAGUCGAGGCAGUGGUGAGGCAGAGGGAGGGUUUCGAUCCCAAUUACCGGUGCGGAAGAGAGAUCUGGGAAUGGCGAAGCCGCUGGGGCCGACGGGGGAGUUCUUCCGGCGGAGGGACGAGUGGAGGAAGCACCCGAUGCUCACCAACAACCUGCGCCGUGCCACUCCGGGCCUCGGUAUCGCCCUCGUCGCCUUCGGCGUCUACCUCGCCGGCGAGGCCGCCUACAACUACUUCCACCGCCCUGAUCCCCACUCCACCACCCACCACUGACGGGUAAUGCGACAUCGGCCCCCUCUUAAGGUCUAUGGUGUAAUAAUCCGAAUAAACAAGUGAUGGAGCAAAUGGCCAUUUUCUUAGAUGGUCUUGGAUAUCCAAGUUGAAGUGCUUUGAUCCUUGUACGUAUUUUCUGACAUGUUCUGCCCUUCCCCCUCUCAGAAAACAUGAAACUUGUUAAGCAAUCUGGAUUUGGACCAGUGUCACAUGCUUUGCUUCUGUGUUCAGCAAGUUCAUCCUGAAACUUAUGGAACAGGAAAUGCUUCAUGAUGA
Musa acuminata AAA Group (dessert banana) is the source of this 694-nucleotide long non-coding RNA. RefSeq lists it as uncharacterized. The transcript is spliced from 2 exons. The record is from RefSeq and is a predicted model, not a curated record. Lineage: Eukaryota; Viridiplantae; Streptophyta; Magnoliopsida; Zingiberales; Musaceae.